UAAUUGGUGGCUAGUAUGAAUGGUUUAAUGAGAAUAAUACUGUCUCUUUUCUAAUCUAUUGAAACUACCUAUUAGGUGAAAAGGCCUAAAUAUUUUUAUAAGACAAUAAGACCCUAUCGAGCUUUAGGUUAAAAUCUAUUACAAAACAAAAUUAAAAAGAAAUUAUACCUUUAGUUGGGGCGACUAAGGAACAAACAAAGCUUCCUAAAAUAACUUAAUUAAAAAUCAUAAUCCGGAAAUAAUCCGACGAAAAAAGCUACCGUAGGGAUANCAGCGUAAUUUUCUUUGUGAGUUCUUAUUAAAAAGAAAGUUUGCGACCUCGAUGUUGGAUUAAGGUAUCUCAAAGACGCAGCAGUCUUUAAAAGU
Molecule: ribosomal RNA, 366 nt
Filed under: Cellana radiata
Lineage: Eukaryota; Metazoa; Mollusca; Gastropoda; Nacellidae
Description: partial 16S ribosomal RNA
Rfam family: Bacterial large subunit ribosomal RNA
Source: RNAcentral